UACGGAGGAUCCGAGCGUUAUCCGAAUUUAUUGGGUUUAAAGGGUGCGCAGGCGGGAGAUUAAGUCGGCGGUGAAAUUUUGCAGCUCAACUGUAAAAGUGCCUUCGAAACUGGUUUCCUUGAGUGUAGCUGAAGUAGGCGGAAUUUGUGGUGUAGCGGUGAAAUGCAUAGAUAUCACGAGGAACUCCGAUUGCGCAGGCAGCUUACUAAACUACUACUGACGCUCAUGCACGAAGGCGUGGGGAUCAAACAGGAUUAGAUACCCU
Molecule: ribosomal RNA, 265 nt
Filed under: uncultured prokaryote
Description: partial 16S ribosomal RNA
Rfam family: Bacterial small subunit ribosomal RNA
Source: RNAcentral